GUGGAAGUGUAAAUUGUUUCUGCUGUUUAUAAUGCUAAGUUUACUAGUUUUUGGAGGCUGUCGACUGAGGCUAACUAUUUUUGUUGAGUUGUUUCAGAUCUAAGACUCUGGCAAUUGCUGCUGCAUCAUUUCGCUAAUACUUUGUGUCAAUUGUGUGUGUAUGUUAAGUAUUUGAGUGUAUAUGUUUAUCAUGAGCGAAUAUGCGUGUGUAGGUUGUUGAAAUUUGUCAUAUUGAUAUUGUCAGUUGUUGUAUGAUGGAGUAUCUGCCAUUCUAAUUUUAUUAAUAACAAUAAUUGAAUAUUCUAAAGGUAGAAUAAAAUGUAGUAGAUUUUGAUAUGAA
Molecule: non-coding RNA, 340 nt
Organism: Chelonoidis abingdonii (Abingdon island giant tortoise)
Lineage: Eukaryota; Metazoa; Chordata; Testudines; Testudinidae
Source: RefSeq, a predicted model, not a curated record